CUUCGCUGACGGGGCGUGGCCUGCGCGUCGUUGACGGCAGCGGGGAGGGGGCGUGGUUUGUGCGCCAUUGCCGGCAAUAGGAGGGGGCGUGGCUAAAAGGGCUCAGUGGGGUAAUGACGUCAUUUGAUGACGUCACCUUUAUUUUUUUCCUCACAUUUUGACGUCACCAACGCAGGAAAAAAGGAAUUCCCGGAUUCCGGGGGUUUUCCCCCCCCCCAAAAAAAAAUCCCCGGGAUGGAAUCGGGGGGAUCCAAAACUCUGCCGGACCCGGUGAGCGACCGCCAAAAAAAUUCCCAAUAAAAUAAAAUAAAAUAAAAUAAAACAAAAUAAAAUAAAAUAAAAUCAAAUCCCGGAAUUUUAAACUUUUCCCGCCCUUUUUUUUCCCUCCAAAAUCAAUUUCCCGCCAGGCCGACGCGAUGACGUCAGACGACUUCGACAUCGUCAUCGAGGCCAUGCUGGAGGCGCCCUACAAGAAGGAGGAGGCCCAGCCCGGCCCUUCCAAGGCCCCAGCGGAGCCGGCCCCGGCCCAGCAGGCGCCGCCGGAGGAGCCGAAGGAGCCCAAGAAGGAGAGCGGGAGCAGGUGAGGAAAUCCCGGAAUUCCGGGAAUUCUGGGAAUUCUGGGCCGGAAUUCCGGGAUUUUGAGGGAAAAUUCUGGGAUUUUUUUGGAAUUUGGGUCGGAAUUCCAAGAUUUUGGGUGAAAAUUCCUGGAUUUUGGGUGAAAAUUCCCAGAUCUUGGGUCAGAAUUCCUGAAUUUUGGGGGAUUUUGGGUGAAAAUUCCCAGAUUUUGGGUCAGAAUUCUGGGAUUUUGGGGCAUUUUGGGUGAAAGUUCCCGGAUUUUGGGGGAAAAUUCUGGGAUUUUUUGGGAAUUUGGGCCGAAAUUCCAAGAUUUUGGCUCAGAAUUCCGGGAUUUUUGGUUAAAAUUCCCGGAUUUUGGGUGAAAAUUCCUGGAUUUUGGGUCAGAAUUCCAGGAUUUUUGGGAAUUUGGGUCAGAAUUCCGAGAUUUUGGGGCAUUUUGGGUGAAAAUUCCCGGAUUUUGGCUCAGAAUUCCAGGAUUUUUUGGGAAUUUGGGUCAGAAUUUUGGGAUUCUGAUUCACAAUUCCCGGAUUUCGGGUGGGAAUUCCCAGAUUUUGGGAAUCUGGGGUGGGAAUUUGGGGAUUUCGAGGGAAUUUUCCCGGAAUUUUCCGGAAUUUUCCGGAAUUUUCCGGGGUUUCAGCAGCCGGAAGAAGCGGAGCCGGAGCCGGAGCCGCGAGCACAGACACAGCCGGAGCCGGGACCGGGAGCGGGAUCGGCGCCG
This 1294-nucleotide long non-coding RNA is filed under the name Cyanistes caeruleus (blue tit). RNAcentral describes it as "lncRNA (ENSCCEG00000007132.1)". Lineage: Eukaryota; Metazoa; Chordata; Aves; Passeriformes; Paridae. The record is from RNAcentral.